UACGUAGGGUGCAAGCGUUGUCCGGAAUUAUUGGGCGUAAAGGGCUCGUAGGCGGUCCAUCGCGUCGGGAGUGAAAAGCUGGGGCUUAACCCCAGUCCUGCUUCCGAUACGGGUGGACUAGAGGUAGGUAGGGGAGAACGGAAUUCCUGGUGUAGCGGUGAAAUGCGCAGAUAUCAGGAGGAACACCGAUUGCGAAGGCAGCUCGCUGGGACGUCACUGACGCUGAGACGCGAAAGCGUGGGGAGCAAACAGG
RNAcentral lists this ribosomal RNA (253 nucleotides) under uncultured bacterium. RNAcentral's name for it is "partial 16S ribosomal RNA". It matches the Rfam family "Bacterial small subunit ribosomal RNA", at positions 524 to 776 of the family's 1533-position model. The record is from RNAcentral.